UUGCAGGCUGNAACCCGCCUGCAUGAAGUCGGAAUUGCUAGUAAUCGCGGAUCAGCAUGCCGCGGUGAAUACGUUCCCGGGCCUUGUACACACCGCCCGUCACACCAUGGGAGCCGGUAAUACCCGAAGUCAGUAGUCCAACCUCGUGAGGACGCUGCCGAAGGUAGGAUUGGCGACUGGGGUGAAGUCGUAACAAGGUAGC
Molecule: ribosomal RNA, 202 nt
Filed under: uncultured bacterium
Lineage: Bacteria
Description: partial 16S ribosomal RNA
Rfam family: Bacterial small subunit ribosomal RNA
Source: RNAcentral